RNAcentral lists this ribosomal RNA (264 nucleotides) under uncultured archaeon. RNAcentral's name for it is "partial 16S ribosomal RNA". It matches the Rfam family "Archaeal small subunit ribosomal RNA", at positions 717 to 982 of the family's 1478-position model. The record is from RNAcentral.
AGACGUCUACAUUAGAUACCCCGUAGUCCCAGCCGUAAACUAUGCGCGUUAGGUGUAUCGGUGACCACGAGUUACCGAGGUGCCGAAGGGAAACCGUGAAACGUGCCGCCUGGGAAGUACGGUCGCAAGGCUGAAACUUAAAGGAAUUGGCGGGGGAGCACAACAACGGGUGGAGCCUGCGGUUUAAUUGGACUCAACGCCGGACAACUCACCGGGAACGACAGCAAUAUGUAGGCCAGGCUGAAGACCUUGCCUGAAUCGCUG